GGAGUUGGCGUUGGCGAUCUCGUUGGUCUCGUUGGGAUCCAGCCAGACCUUCUUCUUCCCGCAGCGCAGGACGCUGGAGGCGAGACGCUUCUGGAGCCUGAGCAUGCUGACGGGGGGGGCACAAGACACAGAGCACCCGACCCUUUAUUUCUCUGGACUUGGCGAAGCUGAACCUCAACGGACAAGCAGAGUGCCUGGGGCAACAGCACAGAGCUGGACAACCAGGAAGUGAUCCAGAGGAGAACAACCUGAAAAAAGUCUCCUUCUGCACAUUGUGUGCACAAGUUUUUUUCAAUUUUGAAGAGAGUGACUAGCAAGGCGUCCUCCCUCCCAUCUCUCCGGAAGUAUGAGCCACACAAGGAGGAUCUGGUGGGCGGCUCGGUGCCAUCGGCUCGAAUCAGAACCACGUCACACCAGGUUUCCCUUCAGCUCCCCGGGUGUGAUUUCAACGAGAGGUGGAGGUGGAGGAUGAAUCAGCCCCCAUCCUGGUUUACUCAGGCUCGCCUCAUCAGUCGGUAUGAUCUCAUCAUCAUCAUCAUCAUCACCUUCAUCAUCAUCCAUGCUCAUUAUUUUAAGUCACACUCAAACCAUGUCCGUGACAAUUUGGAUCAUUCCCUGACAAUGUAUGCAUUAUUUUAGCAUUUUUGAUGUUAUAUACGUCAAUUUUCAUUUGAAGAUUAAUUUUUUUUAUCCAAUUUUACCAAUCGAUUUGAAUUUAAAGUUUGAAACGAGUGACAGAUUUAGAAACAAACCCCGAAGCAAACAGGGUCUGUGUUUAUAUAUUCAUGUCUAACUUGUCUAACUACAUCUUUAAAUUUUUUUAACCAAGUGGCAGAUAUAAAGGUGUUAUUAUUUAUUUUCUUUAAUACACUGGUAAUUGACAGAGUCAUGUUUGUAAUCUGAGUAUAGGCAACAUUUAUUUUUGCUGUCCUUAUCCACCAAGCGGAUUCAAAAAAAUGUGCUAUAAAUAAGUAUAAUUAUAAUUUGGCAUGUGUCAGAACCCCCCUCCUCCCCCAUAAAGCUCUGGGGUCUUUGGCACAUUCGUUCCCAUGUGUCCUCACUAUAGAGUCAGUAAUAGACCUGGAGGAUCCCUGGAGGAUCUGGCAGCUCUUUGGUGGUUUUAGCUCCAGGCCACAUCAGCAC
Long non-coding RNA from Scophthalmus maximus (turbot), 1143 nucleotides. RefSeq lists it as uncharacterized. NCBI's taxonomy places the organism in Eukaryota, Metazoa, Chordata, Actinopteri, Pleuronectiformes, Scophthalmidae. The transcript is spliced from 3 exons. The record is from RefSeq and is a predicted model, not a curated record.